Molecule: ribosomal RNA, 255 nt
Filed under: uncultured bacterium
Lineage: Bacteria
Description: partial 16S ribosomal RNA
Rfam family: Bacterial small subunit ribosomal RNA
Source: RNAcentral
UACGUAGGGGGCAAGCGUUGUCCGGAUUUAUUGGGCGUAAAGAGCGUGUAGGCGGCCGUACAGGUCAGCUGUGAAAACUCGAGGCUCAACCUCGAGACGUCGGUUGAAACCGUACGGCUAGAGUCCGGAAGAGGAGAGUGGAAUUCCCGGUGUAGCGGUGAAAUGCGCAGAUAUCGUAAGGAAGACCAGUGGCGAAGGCGGGUCUCUGGACAGUUCCUGACGCUGAGGCACGAAAGCCAGGGGAGGACGAACGGG